UAAAAUUUAUAAAAUUAGGUAGUAAAGAAAUUUCUGAAACCUAAAGAAUUUGGCGGUAUUUUAAAUAAUUGGAGGAACCUGUUAUUUAAUUGACAAUCCACAACAUAUCUUUCCUGAAUUUUAUUUGUAUAUCGUCGUUUUGAUAAUAUUUAAAAAUAAUAAUCAAUCUUAAUUUAAUUUUUAAAAUCAGAUCAAGGUGCAGUAUAUUUAGGUUAUAAUGGGUUACAAUAUAAGGAUAUACUAUGGAUAUAAACUUGAGAUUAUAUUGAAAGUGGAUUCAAAAGUAAAAUUAAAAUAAAAUGUUAAUUUGAUUAAUAAUUUAAAAUAUGC
RNAcentral lists this ribosomal RNA (330 nucleotides) under Maaykuyak vittatus. RNAcentral describes it as "partial 12S ribosomal RNA". The record is from RNAcentral. Lineage: Eukaryota; Metazoa; Arthropoda; Arachnida; Scorpiones; Vaejovidae.